RNAcentral lists this ribosomal RNA (672 nucleotides) under Hishimonus phycitis. Its description in RNAcentral is "partial large subunit ribosomal RNA". The record is from RNAcentral. Lineage: Eukaryota; Metazoa; Arthropoda; Insecta; Hemiptera; Cicadellidae.
GGUAUAUAUAUAUAUUAUCUUUAAAAUUUUGUAUUAAGUUUUUAAUAAAUUUAUGUAUUGUUUUAUAUGAUUUUUUUAUGUUUAAAUUCUUACUUAAUUUUUUUAUAUAAUUUAAUUAUAAUUAAAUAAUGAAUUAAUUAGUAUAAUUUAAAACUAAAAUCUUAAUGAAUUCGACAAAUUAAAAUUCCAACUGUUUAUCAAAAACAUUUCUUUUUGGUUAUUUAAAAGGUAUUUUCUGCCCUAUGGUUUUAUUUCUAAAUGGCUGCAGUAUAUUGACUGUGCAAAGGUAGCAUAGUAAUUAGUUUCUUAAUUAGAAGCUUGAAUGAAUGGAUAUAUGAGAAUAUUAUUUUAUUAGGUUUAACAUUAAAAAUUAAAUUUUAAGUAAAAAUGCUUAAUGAAUUUCUUGGGACGAUAAGACCCUAUAGAACUUUAUUUUUUUAUUAUAGUUUAAUUAUUUUUUCAGGUUAAUUAUUUUUUAAAUUUUUUGCUGGGGUGGUAGUUAAAUAUUGACUUUAAUUUUUUAUUUCAUUAAUAGAUGUUUAUGUAGAUCUUAUAUAGGAAAAUUAAGAUUAAGUUACCUUAGGGAUAACAGCGUAAUUUUGAUGGGGAGUCCUUAUUUAUAUCAUUUUUUGCGACCUCGAUGUUGAAUUAAGAUAAAUUAAAGAAGCAGUA